Molecule: ribosomal RNA, 1358 nt
Filed under: Escherichia coli
Lineage: Bacteria; Pseudomonadati; Pseudomonadota; Gammaproteobacteria; Enterobacterales; Enterobacteriaceae
Also listed under: 1 other name
Description: partial 23S ribosomal RNA
Rfam family: Bacterial large subunit ribosomal RNA
Source: RNAcentral
ACAAAUGCCCUGCUUCCAGGAAAAGCCUCUAAGCAUCAGGUAACAUCAAAUCGUACCCCAAACCGACACAGGUGGUCAGGUAGAGAAUACCAAGGCGCUUGAGAGAACUCGGGUGAAGGAACUAGGCAAAAUGGUGCCGUAACUUCGGGAGAAGGCACGCUGAUAUGUAGGUGAAGCGACUUGCUCGUGGAGCUGAAAUCAGUCGAAGAUACCAGCUGGCUGCAACUGUUUAUUAAAAACACAGCACUGUGCAAACACGAAAGUGGACGUAUACGGUGUGACGCCUGCCCGGUGCCGGAAGGUUAAUUGAUGGGGUUAGCGGUAACGCGAAGCUCUUGAUCGAAGCCCCGGUAAACGGCGGCCGUAACUAUAACGGUCCUAAGGUAGCGAAAUUCCUUGUCGGGUAAGUUCCGACCUGCACGAAUGGCGUAAUGAUGGCCAGGCUGUCUCCACCCGAGACUCAGUGAAAUUGAACUCGCUGUGAAGAUGCAGUGUACCCGCGGCAAGACGGAAAGACCCCGUGAACCUUUACUAUAGCUUGACACUGAACAUUGAGCCUUGAUGUGUAGGAUAGGUGGGAGGCUUUGAAGUGUGGACGCCAGUCUGCAUGGAGCCGACCUUGAAAUACCACCCUUUAAUGUUUGAUGUUCUAACGUUGGCCCGUAAUCCGGGUUGCGGACAGUGUCUGGUGGGUAGUUUGACUGGGGCGGUCUCCUCCUAAAGAGUAACGGAGGAGCACGAAGGUUGGCUAAUCCUGGUCGGACAUCAGGAGGUUAGUGCAAUGGCAUAAGCCAGCUUGACUGCGAGCGUGACGGCGCGAGCAGGUGCGAAAGCAGGUCAUAGUGAUCCGGUGGUUCUGAAUGGAAGGGCCAUCGCUCAACGGAUAAAAGGUACUCCGGGGAUAACAGGCUGAUACCGCCCAAGAGUUCAUAUCGACGGCGGUGUUUGGCACCUCGAUGUCGGCUCAUCACAUCCUGGGGCUGAAGUAGGUCCCAAGGGUAUGGCUGUUCGCCAUUUAAAGUGGUACGCGAGCUGGGUUUAGAACGUCGUGAGACAGUUCGGUCCCUAUCUGCCGUGGGCGCUGGAGAACUGAGGGGGGCUGCUCCUAGUACGAGAGGACCGGAGUGGACGCAUCACUGGUGUUCGGGUUGUCAUGCCAAUGGCACUGCCCGGUAGCUAAAUGCGGAAGAGAUAAGUGCUGAAAGCAUCUAAGCACGAAACUUGCCCCGAGAUGAGUUCUCCCUGAGACUUAGAGUCUCCUGAAGGAACGUUGAAGACGACGACGUUGAUAGGCCGGGUGUGUAAGCGCAGCGAUGCGUUGAGCUAACCGGUACUAAUGAACCGUGAGGCUUAACCUU